AUUGAACGCUGGCGGCAUGCCUUACACAUGCAAGUCGAACGGUAACAGGUCUUCGGAUGCUGACGAGUGGCGAACGGGUGAGUAAUACAUCGGAACGUGCCCGAUCGUGGGGGAUAACGAGGCGAAAGCUUUGCUAAUACCGCAUACGAUCUACGGAUGAAAGCGGGGGAUCUUCGGACCUCGCGCGGACGGAGCGGCCGAUGGCAGAUUAGGUAGUUGGUGGGAUAAAAGCUGACCAAGCCGACGAUCUGUAGCUGGUCUGAGAGGAUGAUCAGCCACACUGGGACUGAGACACGGCCCAGACUCCUACGGGAGGCAGCAGUGGGGAAUUUUGGACAAUGGGCGAAAGCCUGAUCCAGCCAUGCCGCGUGCAGGAUGAAGGCCUUCGGGUUGUAAACUGCUUUUGUACGGAACGAAAAGCCUCUUUCUAAUAAAGAGGGGUCAUGACGGUACCGUAAGAAUAAGCACCGGCUAACUACGUGCCAGCCGCCGCAGUAA
Molecule: ribosomal RNA, 498 nt
Filed under: uncultured bacterium
Lineage: Bacteria
Description: partial 16S ribosomal RNA
Rfam family: Bacterial small subunit ribosomal RNA
Source: RNAcentral